CCCUACGGGGUGCAGCAGGCGCGAAACCUUUACAAUGCACGAAAGUGUGAUAAGGGAAUCCUAAGUGCUCAUGCAUAGCAUGGGCUUUUGCUAAGGGUAAAAACCUUGGAGAAUAAGUGGUGGGUAAGACUGGUGCCAGCAGCCGCGGUAACACCAGCGCCACGGGUGGGAACCAUGAUUAUUUGGCCUAAAGCGUCCGUAGCUGGCGUGGUAAAUCUUUUGUGAAAUCGAACAGCUCAACUGUUCGGCAUGCAGAAGACACUGCCUAGCUCGAGACCGGGAGGGGUAAGGAGUAUUCUGGGGGAACCGGUAAAAUGGGAUAAUCCUCAGAGGACUACCUGUGGCGAAGGCGCCUUACCAGAACGGAUCUGACAGUGAGGGACGAAGGCUAGGGGAGCGAACCGGAUUAGAUACCCGAGUAGUCCUAGCAGUAAACGCUGUGGGUUAGGUGUUGCACCAUCUACGAGAUUGUGCAGUAUCGAAGCGAAGGCGUUAAACCCACCGCCUGGGAAGUAUGGUCGCAAGACUGAAACUUAAAGGAAUUGGCGGGGGAGCAC
Molecule: ribosomal RNA, 557 nt
Filed under: uncultured archaeon
Lineage: Archaea
Description: bacterial SSU rRNA
Rfam family: Archaeal small subunit ribosomal RNA
Source: RNAcentral